Molecule: ribosomal RNA, 325 nt
Filed under: Staphylococcus aureus
Lineage: Bacteria; Bacillati; Bacillota; Bacilli; Caryophanales; Staphylococcaceae
Description: bacterial SSU rRNA
Rfam family: Bacterial small subunit ribosomal RNA
Source: RNAcentral
AUGUUAGCGGCGGACGGGUGAGUAACACGUGGAUAACCUACCUAUAAGACUGGGAUAACUUCGGGAAACCGGAGCUAAUACCGGAUAAUAUUUUGAACCGCAUGGUUCAAAAGUGAAAGACGGUCUUGCUGUCACUUAUAGAUGGAUCCGCGCUGCAUUAGCUAGUUGGUAAGGUAACGGCUUACCAAGGCAACGAUGCAUAGCCGACCUGAGAGGGUGAUCGGCCACACUGGAACUGAGACACGGUCCAGACUCCUACGGGAGGCAGCAGUAGGGAAUCUUCCGCAAUGGGCGAAAGCCUGACGGAGCAACGCCGCGUGAGUGA